RNAcentral lists this ribosomal RNA (912 nucleotides) under Rasamsonia oblata. Its description in RNAcentral is "LSU rRNA". It matches the Rfam family "Eukaryotic large subunit ribosomal RNA", at positions 38 to 968 of the family's 3401-position model. The record is from RNAcentral. Lineage: Eukaryota; Fungi; Ascomycota; Eurotiomycetes; Eurotiales; Trichocomaceae.
GCAUAUCAAUAAGCGGAGGAAAAGAAACCAACAGGGAUUGCCUCAGUAACGGCGAGUGAAGCGGCAAGAGCUCAAAUUUGAAAUCUGGCCCCUUUGGGGUCCGAGUUGUAAUUUGCAGAGGAUGCUUCGGGAGCGGUCCCCAUCUAAGUGCCCUGGAACGGGACGUCAUAGAGGGUGAGAAUCCCGUAUGGGAUGGGUGGCCGCGCCCGUGUGAAGCGCCUUCGACGAGUCGAGUUGUUUGGGAAUGCAGCUCUAAGCGGGUGGUAAAUUUCAUCUAAAGCUAAAUACUGGCCGGAGACCGAUAGCGCACAAGUAGAGUGAUCGAAAGAUGAAAAGCACUUUGAAAAGAGAGUUAAAUAGCACGUGAAAUUGUUGAAAGGGAAGCGUUGUCCACCAGACUCGCCCGGGAGGGUUCAGCCGGCACUUGUGCCGGUGUACUCCCUUUCGGGCGGGCCAGCAUCGGUUUGGGCGGCCGCUAAAAGGCCUCGGGAAUGUAGCACCCUCCGGGGUGCCUUAUAGCCCGGGGUGACAUGCGACCUGCCUGGACCGAGGUUCGCGCUUCGGCGAGGAUGCUGGCGUAAUGGUGGUCAACGGCCCGUCUUGAAACACGGACCAAGGAGUCUAACAUCUAUGCGAGUGUUCGGGUGUCAAACCCGUCCGCGCAGUGAAAGCGAACGGAGGUGGGAACCCUUUUGGGUGCACCAUCGACCGAUCCUGAAGUCUUCGGAUGGAUUUGAGUAAGAGCAUAGCUGUUGGGACCCGAAAGAUGGUGAACUAUGCCUGAAUAGGGCGAAGCCAGAGGAAACUCUGGUGGAGGCUCGCAGCGGUUCUGACGUGCAAAUCGAUCGUCAAAUUUGGGUAUAGGGGCGAAAGACUAAUCGAACCAUCUGGUAGCUGGUUCCUGCCGAAGUU